AACUUUCAACAACGGAUCUCUUGGUUCUGGCAUCGAUGAAGACCGCAGCGAAAUGCGAUAAGUAAUGUGAAUUGCAGAAUUCAGUGAAUCAUCGAAUCUUUGAACGCACAUUGCGCCCAUUAGUAUUCUAGUGGGCAUGCCUAUUCGAGCGUCAU
Molecule: ribosomal RNA, 155 nt
Filed under: Hypoxylon sp. SUT081
Lineage: Eukaryota; Fungi; Ascomycota; Sordariomycetes; Xylariales; Hypoxylaceae
Description: 5.8S ribosomal RNA
Rfam family: 5.8S ribosomal RNA
About the family: 5.8S ribosomal RNA (5.8S rRNA) is a component of the large subunit of the eukaryotic ribosome. It is transcribed by RNA polymerase I as part of the 45S precursor that also contains 18S and 28S rRNA.
Source: RNAcentral